This 206-nucleotide long non-coding RNA is filed under the name Panax ginseng (ginseng). RNAcentral's name for it is "long non-coding RNA (PGIN_LNC006677)". Lineage: Eukaryota; Viridiplantae; Streptophyta; Magnoliopsida; Apiales; Araliaceae. The record is from RNAcentral.
CAAUCAGCAAUGAUUAACCAUAAGCUUGAAUAAAACACUCUUAUUAGAGUUAAGUAAGAACAAACUUGCCUGAACCGUUGAUUACUGCAACGCAAUUUAUAACGCUUUACCCGAAGACCUAAUAUUAAUAAUAUAGAUCUCCAAUAUUAGAAUAAUAUCAUCACAGUAUAAUAUUAUUAUAUUUAUAUACACAGAAUAACCUAAAC